UACAGAGGUGGCAAGCGUUGUUCGGAAUUACUGGGCGUAAAGCGUGCGUAGGUGGUUCGUUAAGUCUGAUGUGAAAGCCCUGGGCUCAACCUGGGAAUGGCAUUGGAAACUGGCGACCUAGAGUGCGGUAGAGGGUAGUGGAAUUCCCGGUGUAGCAGUGAAAUGCGUAGAUAUCAGGAGGAAUACCGAUGGCGAAGGCAGGUCUCUGGGCUAUAACUGACGCUCAUGCACGAAAGCGUGGGGAGCAAACAGG
Molecule: ribosomal RNA, 253 nt
Filed under: uncultured bacterium
Lineage: Bacteria
Description: partial 16S ribosomal RNA
Rfam family: Bacterial small subunit ribosomal RNA
Source: RNAcentral